Molecule: ribosomal RNA, 253 nt
Filed under: uncultured bacterium
Lineage: Bacteria
Description: partial 16S ribosomal RNA
Rfam family: Bacterial small subunit ribosomal RNA
Source: RNAcentral
GACAGAGGGUGCAACCGUUGUUCGGAAUUACUGGGCGUAAAGCGCGUGUAGGCUGUCCCGCAAGUCGGGUGUGAAAGCCCUGGGCUCAACCCAGGAAGUGCACUCGAAACUGCGGGACUCGAGUCCUGGAGAGGAAGGCGGAAUUCUCGGUGUAGAGGUGAAAUUCGUAGAUAUCGAGAGGAACACCGGUGGCGAAGGCGGCCUUCUGGACAGUGACUGACGCUGAGACGCGAAAGCGUGGGGAGCAAACAGG